This 569-nucleotide ribosomal RNA is filed under the name Escherichia coli. RNAcentral describes it as "partial 23S ribosomal RNA". It matches the Rfam family "Bacterial large subunit ribosomal RNA", at positions 292 to 867 of the family's 2925-position model. The record is from RNAcentral. Lineage: Bacteria; Pseudomonadati; Pseudomonadota; Gammaproteobacteria; Enterobacterales; Enterobacteriaceae.
ACGGGGAGGAGCCCAGAGCCUGAAUCAGUGUGUGUGUUAGUGGAAGCGUCUGGAAAGGCGCGCGAUACAGGGUGACAGCCCCGUACACAAAAAUGCACAUGCUGUGAGCUCGAUGAGUAGGGCGGGACACGUGGUAUCCUGUCUGAAUAUGGGGGGACCAUCCUCCAAGGCUAAAUACUCCUGACUGACCGAUAGUGAACCAGUACCGUGAGGGAAAGGCGAAAAGAACCCCGGCGAGGGGAGUGAAAAAGAACCUGAAACCGUGUACGUACAAGCAGUGGGAGCACGCUUAGGCGUGUGACUGCGUACCUUUUGUAUAAUGGGUCAGCGACUUAUAUUCUGUAGCAAGGUUAACCGAAUAGGGGAGCCGAAGGGAAACCGAGUCUUAACUGGGCGUUAAGUUGCAGGGUAUAGACCCGAAACCCGGUGAUCUAGCCAUGGGCAGGUUGAAGGUUGGGUAACACUAACUGGAGGACCGAACCGACUAAUGUUGAAAAAUUAGCGGAUGACUUGUGGCUGGGGGUGAAAGGCCAAUCAAACCGGGAGAUAGCUGGUUCUCCCCGAAAGCU